This 429-nucleotide long non-coding RNA is filed under the name Cucumis sativus (cucumber). RNAcentral describes it as "long non-coding RNA (CSAT_LNC001106)". The record is from RNAcentral. Lineage: Eukaryota; Viridiplantae; Streptophyta; Magnoliopsida; Cucurbitales; Cucurbitaceae.
AAGGCCCAACUGCUGAAUGUGUGACAGUCGGAAUUAUACUUUCAAAACUCAUAAGAUUUGAAUCUAAUCUUUUUUUCGGAGUAACUUUUAACAAUCUAGCAUAUAGAAUUAACUUUUACAAUCUAGCAUAUAUUCUGUAUGAAACUUUAGUUUGAGAACUUUUUUUCUGAAGUUUUUAAGUAUGUUUUGAAAAUCAAUCGGAUAAUGUUGGAUCUAAUAUAACAGAGACAAUUAACAAAGCAUUAGGAUGGGGAAGGAAGACAAUUAAUUAACAAAGCAUUAGAUGUGGGGAAGGAAGACAAUUAACAAAGCAUUAGAUGGGGAUGGAAGACAUUUAACAAAGAAUUAGAAUAUAAAUGGAUUACAAGCUUACCCUAGAUAGAAAGCUUUUUCUCCCAAGUAGUUGAUACUUGAUUCCACUAGACCCUU